AGUGGGAUAGCUGAAUCAAAUGGUGGUUCCAUUCCAAGUUUUCUAAGAAAUCUCCACACUACUUUCCAAAGUGGUUGCACCCAUCUGCAAUUCCCACCAGCAAU
RNAcentral lists this microRNA precursor (104 nucleotides) under Marmota monax (woodchuck). Lineage: Eukaryota; Metazoa; Chordata; Mammalia; Rodentia; Sciuridae. The record is from RNAcentral.